UUUGUAUGGUCAUUUUGUAUAUAUAUAUAUAAGCAACUGUGAUCUCAAUUUAAAUCAAUGAUAAACAAUGGUUAAAUCAAUAACAUAGCCCUCUUCCCCAAUUUAAAUAGCUUUGGUUACGUUUCACAAGCAACAUCUGUUUUGACCACAGCUGUUUCAGAUGUAACGGUACAUCGGAUAAUUGUUAUUGUUGUAAAUAUGUGCAGGCCGGAGUGUGGUUGUCAGUCAGUGGUGUACAGACCGAUUUCUCGGUAAUUAACGCGGUGCUGAAAUUGGAGAGAUGUGGAGGUGGUGAAUUUGCUCCGCACCCGCCAAUCUGCCUGUCAGAGGGAUGCUGAAAAAUUUCGGUUUGAGAAAGAUAUGAAAUGAAGAAUAUCUUACGUGUCUUUGCUGAUGCGCUUCGGAGGAUGCUUCGCUGGAGAUGACAGCCCGUCUUCUUCUCGCCAUGUGCUGUAACAAAAGCAUCCCAUGCAUCCGAUGCCUGUCCCUUUAAAGCCUUGCUGCAUCCCUGCAGGUGGCCUGUCAAUUUAGCGGAUCCGAAUGACGUCACUGCAUGGCUGGAAAAGCUGUAAGUCAACUUUCACAAUAAAAGUCAUUCGCGA
Long non-coding RNA from Cyprinus carpio (common carp), 602 nucleotides. NCBI's taxonomy places the organism in Eukaryota, Metazoa, Chordata, Actinopteri, Cypriniformes, Cyprinidae. The record is from Ensembl.